RNAcentral lists this ribosomal RNA (421 nucleotides) under Alosimus viridissimus. Its description in RNAcentral is "partial large subunit ribosomal RNA". It matches the Rfam family "Archaeal large subunit ribosomal RNA", at positions 2018 to 2644 of the family's 2987-position model. The record is from RNAcentral. Lineage: Eukaryota; Metazoa; Arthropoda; Insecta; Coleoptera; Meloidae.
UUUGACUGUGCAAAGGUAGCAUAAUCAUUAGUUUUUUUAUUGAAAGCUGGAAUGAAGGGUCGGAUGAGAAAGUUUCUGUCUCAGUAUUAUUUUAUUUGAAUUUUAUUUUUAAGUUAAAAAGCUUAAAUUUUAUAAAAAGACGAGAAGACCCUAUAGAGUUUAAUAGAUUUAUACUACAGUUAUUUAUAGGUUUUAAUUUAAUUGUUUUAUAGUUUAUUUGGUUGGGGUGACUUAAGAAUUGGUUUAACUUCUUAAAAUAGUAACAUUGAUUAAUGAGCCGUUGAUCCUAUGUUUUGGAUUAUAAGAAUAAAUUACCUUAGGGAUAACAGCGUAAUUCUUUUAGAGAGUUCUUAUCGAUAAAAGGGAUUGCGACCUCGAUGUUGGAUUAAAGUUAAAUCUUGGUGCAAGAGCUAAGGGUUUA